RNAcentral lists this ribosomal RNA (484 nucleotides) under uncultured bacterium. RNAcentral's name for it is "partial 16S ribosomal RNA". It matches the Rfam family "Bacterial small subunit ribosomal RNA", at positions 29 to 507 of the family's 1533-position model. The record is from RNAcentral.
AUUGAACGCUGGCGGCAUGCUUUACACAUGCAAGUCGAACGGCAGCGCGGGCUUCGGCCUGGCGGCGAGUGGCGAACGGGUGAGUAAUACAUCGGAACGUGCCCAGUAGUGGGGGAUAGCUCGGCGAAAGCCGGAUUAAUACCGCAUACGACCUGAGGGUGAAAGCGGGGGAUCUUCGGACCUCGCGCUAUUGCAGCGGCCGAUGGCAGAUUAGCUAGUUGGUGGGGUAAAGGCCUACCAAGGCGACGAUCUGUAGCUGGUCUGAGAGGACGACCAGCCACACUGGGACUGAGACACGGCCCAGACUCCUACGGGAGGCAGCAGUGGGGAAUUUUGGACAAUGGGCGAAAGCCUGAUCCAGCAAUGCCGCGUGUGUGAUGAAGGCCUUCGGGUUGUAAAGCACUUUUGGCGGGAAAGAAAAGGACUGUGCCAAUACCACGGUUCGAUGACGGUACCCGAAGAAUAAGCACCGGCUAACUACGUG